CCAGAUGCCCCUUUUCCAUCAGCGGUUCCACAUUGAAGAUCCUCACCCCGGAAUCCAUGGCCACGCAAAAGCAGCUCUGGUCCUGGUUGAAGCGCAGACUGUUGACCCCGCGGCCCUGCGCCAUGGCGGCGGGCUGAACCGGGAGGGGGGGCUGUCCCCGAGACCCCCCCGACCCAAUCUGUCCUUUUUCGGGGCCUUUUGGGGUUUUUUUGCCCCUCCGGAGCGAUCCGGAACGGCUCCGGCCCCGCUUACACCAUCG
RNAcentral lists this long non-coding RNA (259 nucleotides) under Gallus gallus (chicken). The record is from RNAcentral. Lineage: Eukaryota; Metazoa; Chordata; Aves; Galliformes; Phasianidae.